UACGUAGGGUGCAAGCGUUAAUCGGAAUUACUGGGCGUAAAGCGUGCGCAGGCGGUUUUGUAAGUCUGACGUGAAAUCCCCGGGCUCAACCUGGGAAUUGCGUUGGAGACUGCAAGGCUGGAGUCUGGCAGAGGGGGGUAGAAUUCCACGUGUAGCAGUGAAAUGCGUAGAGAUGUGGAGGAACACCGAUGGCGAAGGCAGCCCCCUGGGUCAAGACUGACGCUCAAGCACGAAAGCGUGGGGAGCAAACAGG
Molecule: ribosomal RNA, 253 nt
Filed under: uncultured bacterium
Lineage: Bacteria
Description: partial 16S ribosomal RNA
Rfam family: Bacterial small subunit ribosomal RNA
Source: RNAcentral